Molecule: ribosomal RNA, 714 nt
Filed under: Triticum aestivum (bread wheat)
Lineage: Eukaryota; Viridiplantae; Streptophyta; Magnoliopsida; Poales; Poaceae
Description: partial small subunit ribosomal RNA
Source: RNAcentral
AUGGUGCUUAUACUACCAGAUAUCCGUUACCACCUUCUAGCCCGCCAGCAAAAGAAAAAAGUGGAAAUACAUGGAGAAGUGUUGGAGGACAUUGCGAUCUUCCUCAUGGAUCUCUAUGAGAAUCCGUCGCCGGAGGCAAAUGAUCUAGGCUCCUUGUACUUUCACACACUCUUCGUAUUGUUUGGAGAAUGCCCGCGUUUCGCCCCCUUGGAUGAUAGCUCUGCUGGCAGCAUCGCAAAACACCAAAAAUAUGUUCAUCCUCUAGGCACAGGCUGUCUCUAUGAUCUUAUCAAAAGCUGGAAGAAGGUUUCGUUUACCAUCUUCUUGCUAAAGCUGCUGCUUGUGGAGGAAUCAAUGAUUGCUGUUAUCAAGCAAACAAGGCCCCAUUUCAGUGAUGUUUCGAAGGUCAGUCCUCAGUUUCGGGCUCUUUUUGAUGAGGCAGAGGCGCACAGAGAGAUGAUUCUGGAAAGGCUGGCUUCUUUGUAUGAGGAUACAAAGGAGCUUGACGAGUUUGCUGCUUUGAACAAGCAAGUCAUUGAGGCUGACGGUGUUGUGGGCGACGCAACCUUGCAGCGAAUGGUCACUGGCUUCCUUCACCUCGUCAAGUUCGAUAAAGACCUUGUGCCAGCUAUACUGGUGAGGCAGCAUAACUUUCAGGGUAAGCUCGGUUUGAAUCUUCAGGUGCCCGUAGCAAACCUUGUGACCAGAAGGUAG